CCAGAGAACUUUCCAGAGAUGGAUUGGUGCCUUCGGGAACUCUGAGACAGGUGCUGCAUGGCUGUCGUCAGCUCGUGUUGUGAAAUGUUGGGUUAAGUCCCGCAACGAGCGCAACCCUUAUCCUUUGUUGCCAGCGGUUAGGCCGGGAACUCAAAGGAGACUGCCAGUGAUAAACUGGAGGAAGGUGGGGAUGACGUCAAGUCAUCAUGGCCCUUACGAGUAGGGCUACACACGUGCUACAAUGGCGCAUACAAAGAGAAGCGACCGUCGCGAGAGCAAGCGGACCUCAUAAAGUGCGUCGUGGUCCGGAUUGGAGUCUGCAACUCGACUCCAUGAAGUCGGAAUCGCUAGUAAUCGUGGAUCAGAAUGCCACGGUGAAUACGUUCCCGGGCCUUGUACACACCGCCCGUCACACCAUGGGAGUGGGUUGCAAAAGAAGUAGGUAGCUUAACCUUCGGGAGGGCGCUUACCACUUUGUGAUUCAUGACUGGGGUGAAGUCGUAACAAGGUAAGCGUAGUGCU
RNAcentral lists this ribosomal RNA (522 nucleotides) under uncultured bacterium. RNAcentral describes it as "bacterial SSU rRNA". It matches the Rfam family "Bacterial small subunit ribosomal RNA", at positions 988 to 1509 of the family's 1533-position model. The record is from RNAcentral.